CUUCGGACUGACUUGAGUGGAGCACGCGACCCGAUUGAGUAGUAGUCAAGCAAUGGAGAGACGCAGGAAGGUAGCCUCCGCGUGGCGAUGGUAGUCCACGUCCAAGGGUGUAGGGAGUGAGAUAGGCAAAUCCGUCUCACACAUAUCCUGAGACCUGAUAGUGACCGCGAAUGCGGGAAGCAGGGUGAUCCUAUGCUGCCUAGAAAAUCUUCUAGCGAGGUUCUAGCCGCCCGUACCCCAAACCGACUCAGGUGGUUAGGUAGAGAAUACCAAGGCGAUCGAGUGAAUCGUGGUUAAGGAAUUCGGCAAAAUACCCCCGUAACUUCGGGAGAAGGGGGGCCUGGACCCUGAAGUCACUUGCUGACUAGGGGAAGAGGCCGCAGAGACCAGGGAGAAGCGACUGUUUACUAAAAACACAGGUCCGUGCGAAGUCGCAAGACGAUGUAUACGGACUGACGCCUGCCCGGUGCUGGAAGGUUAAGAGGACGGGUUAGGUCGCAAGAUCGAAGCUCAGAAUUUAAGCCCCAGUAAACGGCGGUGGUAACUAUAACCAUCCUAAGGUAGCGAAAUUCCUUGUCGGGUAAGUUCCGACCUGCACGAAUGGCGUAACGACUUCUCCACUGUCUCAACCACGAACUCGGCGAAAUUGCAUUACGAGUAAAGAUGCUCGUUACGCGCAGCAGGACGGAAAGACCCCGGGACCUUCACUAUAGCUUGAUAUUGGUGUUCGGGACGGCUUGUGUAGGAUAGGUGGGAGACUGUGAAGCCGGCACGCCAGUGUCGGUGGAGUCAACGUUGAAAUACCACUCUGGUCGUUCUGGAUAUCUAACCUCGGUCCGUGAUCCGGAUCAGGGACAGUGUCUGGUGGGUAGUUUAACUGGGGCGGUUGCCUCCUAAAAGGUAACGGAGGCGCUCAAAGGUUCCCUCAGCCUGGUUGGCAAUCAGGUUUUGAGUGUAAGUGCACAAGGGAGCUUGACUGUGAGACAGACAUGUCGAGCAGGGACGAAAGUCGGAACUAGUGACCCGGCGGUGGCUUGUGGAAGCGCCGUCGCUCAACGGAUAAAAGGUACCCCGGGGAUAACAGGCUGAUCUUGCCCAAGAGUCCAUAUCGACGGCAUGGUUUGGCACCUCGAUGUCGGCUCGUCGCAUCCUGGGGGUGGAGUCGCUCCCAAGGGUUGGGCUGUUCGCCCAUUAAAGCGGUACGCGAGCUGGGUUUAGAACGUCGUGAGACAGUUCGGUCCCUAUCCGCUGUGCGCGUAGGAAACUUGAGAAGGGCUGACCCUAGUACGAGAGGACCGGGUUGGACGAACCUCUGGUGUGUCAGUUGUCCUGCCAAGGGCACCGCUGAUUAGCUACGUUCGGAAGUGAUAACCGCUGAAAGCAUCUAAGCGGGAAGCACUCUUCAAGAUGAGGUUUCCAUGGGGCUUGCCCCGAGAGGCUCCCGGCUAGACUACCGGGUUGAUAGGCCAGACGUGGAAGUGCAGUAAUGCAUGUAGCUGACUGGUACUAAUAAGCCGACAACUUC
This 1525-nucleotide ribosomal RNA is filed under the name metagenome. RNAcentral's name for it is "bacterial LSU rRNA". It matches the Rfam family "Bacterial large subunit ribosomal RNA", at positions 1412 to 2925 of the family's 2925-position model. The record is from RNAcentral.